RNAcentral lists this ribosomal RNA (160 nucleotides) under Geosmithia sp. MK1790. RNAcentral describes it as "5.8S ribosomal RNA". The stretch from base 1 to 131 matches the Rfam family "5.8S ribosomal RNA", at positions 24 to 154 of the family's 154-position model. From Rfam's summary of the family: 5.8S ribosomal RNA (5.8S rRNA) is a component of the large subunit of the eukaryotic ribosome. It is transcribed by RNA polymerase I as part of the 45S precursor that also contains 18S and 28S rRNA. Lineage: Eukaryota; Fungi; Ascomycota; Sordariomycetes; Hypocreales; Bionectriaceae. The record is from RNAcentral.
GUUCUGGCAUCGAUGAAGAACGCAGCGAAAUGCGAUAAGUAAUGUGAAUUGCAGAAUUCAGUGAAUCAUCGAAUCUUUGAACGCACAUUGCGCCCGCCAGUACUCUGGCGGGCAUGCCUGUCCGAGCGUCAUUUCAACCCUCAGCAACCGCUUUAUAGCG